Molecule: non-coding RNA, 29 nt
Filed under: Mus musculus (house mouse)
Lineage: Eukaryota; Metazoa; Chordata; Mammalia; Rodentia; Muridae
Source: RNAcentral
UCAUCGAGGUGUCUAAACAUCACUGCUAC